Molecule: ribosomal RNA, 466 nt
Filed under: Burkholderia vietnamiensis
Lineage: Bacteria; Pseudomonadati; Pseudomonadota; Betaproteobacteria; Burkholderiales; Burkholderiaceae
Description: bacterial SSU rRNA
Rfam family: Bacterial small subunit ribosomal RNA
Source: RNAcentral
UUAAACUGAAGAGUUUGAUCCUGGCUCAGAUUGAACGCUGGCGGCAUGCCUUACACAUGCAAGUCGAACGGCAGCACGGGUGCUUGCACCUGGUGGCGAGUGGCGAACGGGUGAGUAAUACAUCGGAACAUGUCCUGUAGUGGGGGAUAGCCCGGCGAAAGCCGGAUUAAUACCGCAUACGAUCUACGGAUGAAAGCGGGGGACCUUCGGGCCUCGCGCUAUAGGGUUGGCCGAUGGCUGAUUAGCUAGUUGGUGGGGUAAAGGCCUACCAAGGCGACGAUCAGUAGCUGGUCUGAGAGGACGACCAGCCACACUGGGACUGAGACACGGCCCAGACUCCUACGGGAGGCAGCAGUGGGGAAUUUUGGACAAUGGGCGAAAGCCUGAUCCAGCAAUGCCGCGUGUGUGAAGAAGGCCUUCGGGUUGUAAAGCACUUUUGUCCGGAAAGAAAUCCUUGGCUCUAAUA